This 655-nucleotide ribosomal RNA is filed under the name Vibrio caribbeanicus. RNAcentral describes it as "bacterial SSU rRNA". It matches the Rfam family "Bacterial small subunit ribosomal RNA", at positions 67 to 715 of the family's 1533-position model. The record is from RNAcentral. Lineage: Bacteria; Pseudomonadati; Pseudomonadota; Gammaproteobacteria; Vibrionales; Vibrionaceae.
CUGACCUUCGGGGAACGAUAACGGCGUCGAGCGGCGGACGGGUGAGUAAUGCCUGGGAAAUUGCCCUGAUGUGGGGGAUAACCAUUGGAAACGAUGGCUAAUACCGCAUAAUAGCUUCGGCUCAAAGAGGGGGACCUUCGGGCCUCUCGCGUCAGGAUAUGCCCAGGUGGGAUUAGCUAGUUGGUGAGGUAAGGGCUCACCAAGGCGACGAUCCCUAGCUGGUCUGAGAGGAUGAUCAGCCACACUGGAACUGAGACACGGUCCAGACUCCUACGGGAGGCAGCAGUGGGGAAUAUUGCACAAUGGGCGCAAGCCUGAUGCAGCCAUGCCGCGUGUAUGAAGAAGGCCUUCGGGUUGUAAAGUACUUUCAGCAGUGAGGAAGGUGGUGUACUUAAUACGUGCAUCAUUUGACGUUAGCUGCAGAAGAAGCACCGGCUAACUCCGUGCCAGCAGCCGCGGUAAUACGGAGGGUGCGAGCGUUAAUCGGAAUUACUGGGCGUAAAGCGCAUGCAGGUGGUUUGUUAAGUCAGAUGUGAAAGCCCGGGGCUCAACCUCGGAAUUGCAUUUGAAACUGACAGACUAGAGUACUGUAGAGGGGGGUAGAAUUUCAGGUGUAGCGGUGAAAUGCGUAGAGAUCUGAAGGGAAUACCGGUGG